GUGCUAUCUUCAGCAGCACUUAUACUAAAAUUGAAACAAUACAGGGAAGAUCAGCAUCACCCUCACACAAGGAUGGCAUGAAAUCCAGGAAGCAGUCCAUAUUUUA
Grammomys surdaster is the source of this 106-nucleotide small nuclear RNA. NCBI's taxonomy places the organism in Eukaryota, Metazoa, Chordata, Mammalia, Rodentia, Muridae. The record is from RefSeq and is a predicted model, not a curated record.